UGGGGAAUAUUGGACAAUGGGCGCAAGCCUGAUCCAGCCAUGCCGCGUGAGUGAUGAAGGCCCUAGGGUUGUAAAGCUCUUUCACCGGUGAAGAUAAUGACGGUAACCGGCGAAGAAGCCCCGGCUAACUUCGUGCCAGCAGCCGCGGUAAUACGAAGGGGGCUAGCGUUGUUCGGAUUUACUGGGCGUAAAGCGCACGUAGGCGGACUUUUAAGUCAGGGGUGAAAUCCCGGGGCUCAACCCCGGAACUGCCUUUGAUACUGGAAGUCUUGAGUAUGGUAGAGGUGAGUGGAAUUCCGAGUGUAGAGGUGAAAGUCGUAGAUAUUCGGAGGAUCACCAGUGGCGAAGGCGUCUCACUGGACCAUUACUGUCGCUGAGGUGCGAAAGCGUGGGAAGCAAACAGG
RNAcentral lists this ribosomal RNA (404 nucleotides) under Actinomycetes bacterium. RNAcentral's name for it is "Actinobacteria bacterium partial 16S ribosomal RNA". It matches the Rfam family "Bacterial small subunit ribosomal RNA", at positions 355 to 776 of the family's 1533-position model. The record is from RNAcentral. Lineage: Bacteria; Bacillati; Actinomycetota; Actinomycetes.